GUUUUAGUGGCAGAGUAAAUGCAUGGUGUUUAAGCCGCCAAAAUAGGAUUAUCCUCUAUU
This 60-nucleotide transfer RNA is filed under the name Laeocathaica amdoana. RNAcentral describes it as "tRNA-Leu". Lineage: Eukaryota; Metazoa; Mollusca; Gastropoda; Stylommatophora; Camaenidae. The record is from RNAcentral.